GACGAACGCUGGCGGCGUGCUUAACACAUGCAAGUCGAACGGCAAGGCCCUGCUUUUGUGGUCUGCUCGAGUGGCGAACGGGUGAGUAACACGUGAGUAACCUGCCCUUGACUUUGGGAUAACUUCAGGAAACUGGGGCUAAUACCGGAUAGGAGCUCCUGCUGCAUGGUGGGGGUUGGAAAGUUUCGGCGGUUGGGGAUGGACUCGCGGCUUAUCAGCUUGUUGGUGGGGUAGUGGCUUACCAAGGCUUUGACGGGUAGCCGGCCUGAGAGGGUGACCGGCCACAUUGGCACUGAGGUACGGCCCAUACUCCUACGGGAGGCAGCGGUGGGAAAUAUUGCACAAUAGGCGGAAGCCUUAUGCAGCAACGCCGCGUUCGGGAUGACUGCCUUCGGGUUGUAAACCGCUUUCGCCUGUGACGAAGCGUGAGUGACGGUAAUGGGUAAAGAAGCACCGGCUAACUACGUG
RNAcentral lists this ribosomal RNA (468 nucleotides) under uncultured bacterium. Its description in RNAcentral is "partial 16S ribosomal RNA". It matches the Rfam family "Bacterial small subunit ribosomal RNA", at positions 28 to 507 of the family's 1533-position model. The record is from RNAcentral.